RNAcentral lists this ribosomal RNA (215 nucleotides) under uncultured fungus. RNAcentral's name for it is "partial small subunit ribosomal RNA". The stretch from base 91 to 215 matches the Rfam family "Eukaryotic small subunit ribosomal RNA", at positions 738 to 864 of the family's 1831-position model. Lineage: Eukaryota; Fungi. The record is from RNAcentral.
GACCUGGCCGGGCGGUCCGCCUCACGGUGUGUACUGUCUGGCUGGGUUCUACCUCUUGGUGAGCCGGCAUGCCCUUCACUGGGUGUGUCGAGGAACCAGGACUGUUACCUUGAGAAAAUUAGAGUGUUUAAAGCAGGCUAACGCCUGAAUACAUUAGCAUGGAAUAAUGAAAUAGGACGAGCGAUCCUAUUUUGUUGGUUUCUAGGAUUGACGUA